UUCGGCAAUGGGCGAAAGCCUGACCGAGCAACGCCGCGUGAACGAAGAAGGUUUUCGGAUUGUAAACUCCUGUCUUCGGGGACGAUAAUGACGGUACCCGAGGAGGAAGCCACGGCUAACUACGUGCCAGCAGCCGCGGUAAAACGUAGGUGGCAAGCGUUGUCCGGAAUUACUGGGUGUAAAGGGAGCGCAGGCGGGUCGGCAAGUUGGAGGUGAAAGCUGUGGGCUCAACUCACAAACUGCCUUCAAAACUGCCGGUCUUGAGUGGUGUAGAGGUAGGCGGAAUUCCCGGUGUAGCGGUGGAAUGCGUAGAUAUCGGGAGGAACACCAGUGGCGAAGGCGGCCUACUGGGCACUAACUGACGCUGAGGCUCGAAAGCAUGGGUAGC
This 388-nucleotide ribosomal RNA is filed under the name uncultured bacterium. RNAcentral describes it as "bacterial SSU rRNA". It matches the Rfam family "Bacterial small subunit ribosomal RNA", at positions 364 to 769 of the family's 1533-position model. The record is from RNAcentral.